This 162-nucleotide ribosomal RNA is filed under the name uncultured Mycena. RNAcentral's name for it is "partial 28S ribosomal RNA". It matches the Rfam family "Eukaryotic large subunit ribosomal RNA", at positions 1 to 157 of the family's 3401-position model. Lineage: Eukaryota; Fungi; Basidiomycota; Agaricomycetes; Agaricales; Tricholomataceae. The record is from RNAcentral.
CUUGACCUCAAAUCAGUAGGACUACCCGCUGAACUUAAGCAUAUCAAUAAGCGGAGGAAAAGAAACUAACAAGGAUUCCCCUAGUAACUGCGAGUGAAGCGGGAAAAGCUCAAAUUUAAAAUCUGGCGGUCCUUGUGGCCGUCCGAGUUGUAAUUUAGAGAA